CCAUUAUAACCUUAAUAAUAAAAUUAUAAAACCAUAUAUAACAUGCCCAUUACCGUCCACCCUUUUUUCAAAUGGGAUAAUUGCAACAUAAAGGUUUCCAUUUAAAAAGCCACUAACAAUUCGGCCCUUAUGCUUUUAACUAUCAAGUUUUUAAUUUACGCGAUUAAGUCAUUUUAUUUAAUCAGACACUAAAACGAUAAAAUUAAAUCACGAAAAUUUCACAGAUAUAAAUUCACACAAAAUAAACACAGAAAAUACUUUUUAAAUAUUUUUCUGACUCAGAUUCGUG
This 289-nucleotide long non-coding RNA is filed under the name Gossypium barbadense (sea-island cotton). RNAcentral's name for it is "long non-coding RNA (GBAR_LNC012242)". Lineage: Eukaryota; Viridiplantae; Streptophyta; Magnoliopsida; Malvales; Malvaceae. The record is from RNAcentral.